Molecule: transfer RNA, 88 nt
Filed under: Bradyrhizobium ottawaense
Lineage: Bacteria; Pseudomonadati; Pseudomonadota; Alphaproteobacteria; Hyphomicrobiales; Nitrobacteraceae
Description: tRNA-Ser
Rfam family: tRNA
About the family: Transfer RNA (tRNA) molecules are approximately 80 nucleotides in length. Their secondary structure includes four short double-helical elements and three loops (D, anti-codon, and T loops).
Source: RNAcentral
GGAGAGGUGGCCGAGCGGCUGAAGGCGGCGCGGUGCUAACGCGUUAGACCGUUGUGUCUCCCGGGUUCGAACCCCGGUCUCUCCGCCA